GGCUUCUCUAAGGUUACUGAAACCCUGCGACAGGAGGCGGACCAGAUGAAGGCCAAAGGGCCACUGCAAGAGAAGUUGGUCGUUCACACAAGACAAACAAAUGAGAGGACGGUAUAAUGCAGAGACACUCAAUGGGGAAACGGUUCAACACUGCAGCUGGAAUUGCUCGCUAGUUCAGCACUGAACAGGGUGCUUCUGUUUAGAGGGACAUUGCAGAGAUAACAAAACACCACAGCAGGCUUUUUUCCAACCUUCAAACACACACAAAAACAAACAGCCAAAGCGAUUGAAACGUUGUGUGGAGUGUUCAAACAGAAGCCCUAAUAAAUGGUGAUACAUUAAAGGAGAGGCUGCAGAGGGUCUCUUAAAGCUCUGUGGAUUAUUGAUCAGGAAUCAGGAUGUGCUGAGGGAUUCUGCAGUCCUCCUGUUCCGGCCUCACUCAAGUGUCCAGAGCACCACGCUCUGUGUUAAUGCCUCAAACCUCUGACAGCCCCCUGAACAAACACAGCUCAGUGAGAGAGGAUGAAAAGGGGGAAACUGAAGCUGAAGGAGGAAAGAAACGCUGUCAAAUUUUUACAAAAAAAGAAAAAAGUGGACUAGAGAUUGGA
This is a long non-coding RNA of Onychostoma macrolepis, 608 nucleotides long. RefSeq lists it as uncharacterized. The record is from RefSeq and is a predicted model, not a curated record. NCBI's taxonomy places the organism in Eukaryota, Metazoa, Chordata, Actinopteri, Cypriniformes, Cyprinidae. The transcript has 3 exons.